Molecule: long non-coding RNA, 612 nt
Organism: Helianthus annuus (common sunflower)
Lineage: Eukaryota; Viridiplantae; Streptophyta; Magnoliopsida; Asterales; Asteraceae
Exons: 2
Source: RefSeq, a predicted model, not a curated record
AUAGCAACAGAGAAAGGCAUACGGUAGAUGACAGAAAUAGAGAGAGGGAGAGAGAGAAAGAGAGCCAGCAGAGGUGUAAACUCCGGCGAACUAAGCGGUUCCGGCGAACAACAGAGAAAAACUCCGGUGAACUAAGGCGGUUCAGGCAAACAACAGAGAGAAACUCCGGCGAGCUAGGGCGGUUCCGGCGAAAAUACAAGAAAGAACUCCGUGACAAAUUGAGGUGUCCUCAUGAUAAAAUCAUCUUCUUCCAUUGACCGGAGGUGUGCGGUGGGUGGUGGUGGCCGGAGGUGUGCGGUGGGUGGUGGUGGCCGGAGGUGUGCAGUGGGUGGUGGUGGUCGAAGCUGUGCGGUGGGUGGUGGUGGCCGGACGGCUGUAUUUAAGGUCUAAUUUGACCACAAGUGUAAUUUGAUAGAUAAUCAGGUCUAAUUUGAUAGAUGGUUGGAGGUUUAUGUAUUAAUAAACCAUGUUUGGUUUUAGUUUUCAUAUUAAUGAAGGUUUCAGUUUCCUAUUAAAAAAAAAAGUCUGUGUUGGUUUAUGGGAAGUUGUAACAAUUAAUUUGGUUGAUGAAAAGUUGAAAUAAUAUAGUUGACUUGUGGGCACGAUUACAAA